Molecule: ribosomal RNA, 497 nt
Filed under: uncultured bacterium
Lineage: Bacteria
Description: partial 16S ribosomal RNA
Rfam family: Bacterial small subunit ribosomal RNA
Source: RNAcentral
GAUGAACGCUGGCGGCGUGCCUAAUACAUGCAAGUCGAGCGAACAGACGAGGAGCUUGCUCCUCUGACGUUAGCGGCGGACGGGUGAGUAAAACGUGGAUAACCUACCUAUAAGACUGGGAUAACUUCGGGAAACCGGAGCUAAUACCGGAUAAUAUCUUGAACCGCAUGGUUCAAUAGUGAAAGACGGUUUUGCUGUCACUUAUAGAUGGAUCCGCGCCGCAUUAGCUAGUUGGUAAGGUAACGGCUUACCAAGGCAACGAUGCGUAGCCGACCUGAGAGGGUGAUCGGCCACACUGGAACUGAGACACGGUCCAGACUCCUACGGGAGGCAGCAGUAGGGAAUCUUCCGCAAAGGGCGAAAGCCUGACGGAGCAACGCCGCGUGAGUGAUGAAGGUCUUCGGAUCGUAAAACUCUGUUAUUAGGGAAGAACAAAUGUGUAAGUAACUAUGCACAUCUUGACGGUACCUAAUCAGAAAGCCACGGCUAACUACGUG